This 250-nucleotide unclassified non-coding RNA is filed under the name plant metagenome. RNAcentral describes it as "partial contains small subunit ribosomal RNA, internal transcribed spacer 1, and 5.8S ribosomal RNA". The record is from RNAcentral.
GUAGGUGAACCUGCGGAAGGAUCAUUAACACGUAUCCAAACGUAAACCCCCCCGUGAAUAUUGAAGUUGCUCUCGUCUUCGGCCUGGAAUGGUCUUGCGAUAUGAUGCGCGCCCCGCUGGUAUCUCACAUGUUUGUUAUGACUCAGCGUGCCGCGCAACUAGCGAGAUAGUUUCAACCUGAUUUCGAUAUGAUGCGGCACUGUUACAAGUACUGGCUCGGUUGCCCCUGUUCCUUGUCUGAAAGUGUCCG